Molecule: ribosomal RNA, 460 nt
Filed under: uncultured bacterium
Lineage: Bacteria
Description: partial 16S ribosomal RNA
Rfam family: Bacterial small subunit ribosomal RNA
Source: RNAcentral
CCUACGGGUGGCUGCAGUGAGGAAUAUUGGUCAAUGGGCGUGAGACUGAACCAGCCAAGUAGCGUGAAGGAUGACUGCCCUACGGGUUGUAAACUUCUUUUAUAAGGGGAUAAAGUGAGGCACGUGUGCCUUUUUGUAUGUACUUCAUGAAUAAGGACCGGCUAAUUCCGUGCCAGCAGCCGCGGUAAUACGGAGGAUCCGAGCGUUAUCCGGAUUUAUUGGGUUUAAAGGGAGCGUAGAUGGGUUGUUAAGUCAGUUGUGAAAUUUUGCGGCUCAACCGUAAAAUUGCAAUUGAUACUGGCAGCCUUGAGUGCAGUGGAGGUAGGCGGAAUUCGUGGUGUAGCGGUGAAAUGCUUAGAUAUCACGAAGAACUCCGAUUGCGAAGGCAGCUUACUAAACUGCCACUGACAUUGAUGCUCGAAAGUGUGGGUAUCAAACAGGAUUAGAUACCCUUGUAGUC